Molecule: unclassified non-coding RNA, 292 nt
Filed under: Hevea brasiliensis (rubber tree)
Lineage: Eukaryota; Viridiplantae; Streptophyta; Magnoliopsida; Malpighiales; Euphorbiaceae
Source: RNAcentral
AUUCCAUGGUACAGAUCACAACCAGAAUCUUCUGAACUGAUCGGGGUUGUGUUGCUGGGCACAUCAGAUAAAACUGGCUUAGCCUCUGAUUCGGAAUCUGGAGCAGAAGUAGUUGUGCUACUUUCAUCUGAUCCUUUAUCUGCACUACCUGAAUUAUCAGACACAACAUUUCGUUNNNNNNNNNNNNNUUCUCCUUCACCCCAACUUCUUGUCGGGCAUUGGCAGAGGGAAUUUGUAGAUCAGACUCCGAUGGCAAAGAAUUCUUAUCUAUGUCAUUUACACUAUCAUUAAC